Molecule: long non-coding RNA, 1501 nt
Filed under: Homo sapiens (human)
Lineage: Eukaryota; Metazoa; Chordata; Mammalia; Primates; Hominidae
Description: HSALNT0281680
Source: RNAcentral
AGUCCCUCUGGCCUUUCCCUUCUGCUUUCAGGAGGGUGAAGGCUAAUCAUCAAACUGAUUCAAAAGUUCUGAAUUCUCAGAGAAAGCCUGAACAGAGACCAGAAUGGGUGUUGCAUCCUGCCUCUCCUGAGCACCACAUUGGCCUGGCUGCUCAAGGCUGCCUGGAGACCACCGUGCACUGCCCUGAUCUGUCAUUCACCAGGACAGCCCUGCUCAACCUCGUGGGAGCAGCUCACCCACAGCCUCCUCACCGACCUCCCGGGCAGCUUGUCGGAGCCGUCUCUUUGCCUAACACAGAAGCUUUGGAAUGAAGCAGGGAGAGAAAGACAGCGUGGAUAGCAGAUCUGCACGUGAAACACAGAUCAAACACGGCCCACAGAAACAAUGGUAGGAAGCAUAACCAGAGUGAAUCGAUUCCUUGAUCCUGCUCUGCCAAAAAAUUAAAGAGGAGCACUCCUGGGGUUUUUAACCCAGAUAAGACUUCAGCCACAGCCGUAUUUCCCAUGUUCCUGGAUCUCUUGUUCUGGCUCUUAUUCUGCGGAUAAAAUGUGGAAUAGAGUAAGCAGUGUCGAGUUCUGCCGGUUCAUCUGGCUUUUUAAAAAAAAAUUAAAUGGCUCUAUCUCUUUGCCCUCAACACUUCUGCACACGCACAUGUGCACGCACACAGCCUUGUUUUACCUUUUCUCCAGAACUAAACUGGACAGACUUUGCCAUUUCUUUCAACAGGACAAGGAGAAGGUAGAAAGGGCCCUCUCAGGCAUCAGCCUCUUAAAAGGACAAAUUUCUUGAAGCAAAGAAAGUUCUAGUCCCCAGUCUGAGACCCAUUCUGUCUCUCCAUCCCCAAGUGAUGACACAACCCCUUCGUUCUCAAAGAUCUGUUUAAAUAUGUAGGUGGUCUUGCUUGAGUCAACUGGUUUUUAUGUCAGCAUUGACCUCAGUCCUGAGAUCCUAGAUUGCCCAGCUGGCAGAGCACUGGAGGGUAGAGCUCGCUGCAAGUGAGGCCAGCCCACCCCCAGCCUUCUGAUGGGCCACUGAGGCCACCCCGUUGGGCUGGUCAUCUGCAGCCGGUGUCCUCUCCUGACCUCUGCUCUAAUCUCAAGGGCACCCUUUAUUUAGACACCACAGUCCAGCCUGAGCCUCAAGUCCUCGAUUCAUUGGCUGGACAUGAGCCAGGGACAGCCACAGGCUGGCUCCAGAGGGCUCCCCAAAAGAGGCCACAGAGGCCCCAGGAGGCAGGCUCUGGCCGAGCUGGAACAGAGAACGGAGGUUUAAAUUUCCGAGGCCUCAGUUCGAAUUCCAGCUCUCUCACUGGCGAUGACCUUGAUCCGUGGGGUAACUUCCCUGAGCCUGGUGCCUGCAUCAAUCAAAUGGAAGAGGAGAAGACCACGUGAACGUGGAGCAGAGUGAGAUGCAAAGAUGCUGGCCUUGACGUUUGUAGUGAUUAGUGAGGCAGCCACAAGCCAAGGAAGGCCAGCAGCCACCAGAAGCCAGAAGAGGCAAG